Molecule: long non-coding RNA, 4464 nt
Filed under: Mus musculus (house mouse)
Lineage: Eukaryota; Metazoa; Chordata; Mammalia; Rodentia; Muridae
Description: predicted gene, 35842
Source: RNAcentral
AUUUUUUUAACAAACAAACAAAAAGGAAAACAAAACCAACGACUCUUUGCCCUCUUAGCCCAUGACCUCUCUGUGGUCGUGGUUAUGUGGGGGUUCUCUCUUCCUCCCUUCACAUACAACUUCUUGAAAGAAUAUUCUCAUUGGUUUUGAGAUCCUGGUGUCUCUGGAUACCAGUGAGUCCUCAUCCCCACCCUCACACCCACCCAGUGACGCCUUUUCUGUUAUCUUUAUCCCUUGCCAUUACACAUUAACCUUGGAAACCUCGCUGGCUUUCUGCCUGCUUCCCUGCCAGCCUGAGGAACCCUUUCUCUUGCCAGACAUUCCUUUCUCAGGAUUUCCCCCUCUAUCGACCAUUCUUUGUUUGAUACUUUAUCUUUAAGCAAACUCAUCCAUUCUUGUUAUUUUACUUAUCUCCUCUACCCGAAGGUCUGGGCCACCAUAAUUUCUCUCCUAAAUUCUUAUCUAUCUCCACCUGGAUUUCCUCAGGCUCAGCAAAGAGUCAAAGUUCAGAGCUGUCUUUACAGGUCACUGCCCUGUCCUCUUUGUUGAAGCCAUUUUGUUUGUAUAUGGUAUAAAUUUUUCCUGGUGGAACAAUCUCUAUACUUAGGCCUUAUCUUAAUCCAAUGAUCGUGUCUGAGCUCUAACGCCUUUCUGGGUUUAAUUGUAAGCUCAAUCAAUUUUAUCUAGGUAUGUUGCCCACACUCACAGCUAGACAGACUAAUGGAAGGGUCUGUAGUACCUCUGUGAUGCUCAUUCUUAUGUUCCCAUGUUAGCUGCUAGAAGCUUUCUGAUAUCAAGCAAGAAGGGAGAAGAUCGGUUGGCAAAUGCCAAUUGAGUCCACAACUUUUUACAGGGAAAAUUUCCAAAAAGCUCCACCUAGAAAUCUUGGCAUAUGUAGAGGAGACCAGAGGAGUGUUACACAACUAUCUUGAUCGACCAAAGACACAGAGAAAUACAGUUAAAGGAAUUUGAGCAUGAUGCUGCUCCAAUAUAUAAUGAUUCUAGUGGCCAAGAGAAAAUUCAUGAUACAUAGAGACAGCUGUUGCACAAUUAACAAUAUCCACAGAGAUCCUCUUCUUUCUUUUCCAUGUUUGCUUACAAUAAACUCCUACUAAGACCAGCAAAUGUAAAUGUAAGUAAAUGAAAAAUUAAAUUGAAUUCCUACUGAAUAUGGUAAUAUGAAUUGAGGCAUUUCCUACCAUUGUCGUUGUCGUCAUCAUCAUCAUCACUGUCUUCCUCCUUGUUAUUGUCAUCAUCAUCAUCCUCAACAACAACAACAUGGCCUCUUACUUAAGGGCACAACUGUUGCUUAGUCUGCUGCUACUAUUUUCCCUGUUCAUUAAGUCACUCAUUCAGAAUAAAAGCACUGAUGAUGGACACCAUGUUACACGCUAUGGAUGAAUGACUAUGACCUUUGUCUUAAGUCUGAUCAUUACACAUAGCAAACACACAUCCAGUUAGCACAGUAUACCAUAGAAAUAUGAAUAGACACUGUGCAGCUCUUCAACAUAAAUAAAUAACCAUGACCUUUCUCUUCAGGGACUUACCGGUUGAGUUGAGCAGCCCAACACAGAAUGAGUGUCUCUCGGUGCAGCACAAUAAGCUACACACUAGAGAUGGGUAAGAGAAUUGUAGAAUCAGAGAGAAAGUCCUGAAAUACACCGGGGAAUGGCUGAGAAGACUUCACUGGAGAGGAGAUGUCAGUAGAGCUGUAUAAUGCUCUACAGCCUAUAAAUAACUGCAUCUAGAAACACGAAUCUCAUAAUCUGGAUAGAAAGGGAAGUCUUGAGAGGAAAACAAAGAAAGAACAUGUAAUAGAAGACCAAGGAACUGCUCAUCGGUCUUUGCGUCCACGGGCAGUUCGGACUUGCACGCCCCAAGGUCAAGUUCAUGGAGUCAGCUGUACUCUGUUCCUGGGCUGACUAUUCCUCACCAACUUUCCUCUACACUGCUGCCUAUGUUUCCUAACCGAAGACCCUUAAAGCUUUGCUAAUUGCUCACUGAACACAGUGACAAGGCCUUCCUAGUUCCCAGCUCAAAUCUUCAAACCGAUGCCUCUCAUGCUUCCUCAUCUCUUUUAGUCCAACACUUAGGAAACUCGUCACCUGUCACCUUUAUGACAUUCCUCUCCUUGCCCCUCCCCCACCCCAGUUUGCUUCCAGUUCCCAGAAUGUUCAUCCUGAAUUAACCUCGCCCUUAUUUCCUCUAUGUAAUUUACGCCUCUCUUCUAUUGCUUUCACGAGGAUUUCGUUUCCUGCAUGGUGACUUGUGUCUCUACUGAGUUGAGACUCUCCUCUUCCCCAAAAGCCAUGGCAUCUCUUGUGUUCUUUACAGAGUGAUAGCCUGUGUUACAGCCACCUGAGAGUUUGUGAGCACUGCCUUUAAAUGUUCCCACUACAAGGCUCCUAGAGAGCUGCCCCAGGAGCCGGCCUUCCUAACAAGUUCCUGGGGUUUGCAGCUGUUGCUGCUGACACAAGGCUGACACAUUUGAGAAACACUACUUGCCAAAAUACAAAGAAGAGUGGAGGUCAAAUGUAGAAUCCUCUGUCUGGGUGUAGCAGAGAAGACAGGUUUUAUAGCGUGCUGUUUAAACGUGGAAAGUCAUGUUUGGUUUCCGCAUCCCUAGCUUAAUCUUUGAUCAAGCAGCUAACCCUUCGAAGUUUUCACUUCCUGGUCAGACAGCUGGGGCCAUCCUUAACUCUGUUAGAGGUUUGUUCUGCAAGGCCAAAUCCAAAUCCAAAAGGGAUCAUGCUACAAAAUGUUCUGGAAAUGCUUGCUACUAAUCCUUACCUAUGUAUUCCACACGUUUCCUUUAAAAGAAAGGGUUUUUUUUUUGUUUUGUUUUGUUUUUUUUGUUUUUUGCCCAGCUACAGCAGUUUAUCUCAAAACAUUUUCUUGGACUUUUGACUAAAGAACAUUUCCUUUGAGAUUAAUGCAAUAGUAAUUUCCAUUUCAUUUGAAGAGGCUUUGAAAAGUAAGGAAUCAGGUACAUCAAAAUAAUUAUUUUAUAAAGGAGCUAGCAUUGAAAAAAAUAUAAUGUAUAAAACCAGGUUGCUGAAGCAAAAUGUCAUCUCCCACUGCUUUGUCAGUCCAAGGCAUUUAGUCGUUGCAGGAACAUUAUAAAACAUAGUUCAAUUUUCUUUAUUGUUACUUUUCUUGGGGGGGGUUGGAGUUAUUUUUUUUAUUAUGGAUUUUAUGAUAAAUAACUGAGCUUCAACAGCACUUUUGAAUUUGCUAGACAUUAAAACAAUAGAGAAAGACCAUCUUAUAAAUUGAAACUCACAUGUGUGAACACUAAAUGCUGGGAUUUGAUUUCUUUGUUUCUAUAGAAACAAAAGAAAAUUGAGAUUAAAAUAAGCUAAAAUGGAAUGUGUUUUAUGAAAUAGAUAAAGGAGCUUAUUUUACUUGUGGGCUGUGCAGUGUGGUAAAAAUUUUUACAUUUAAAAUCCAAGCUGUCUUUGGACCAUUCUGCCUUAUUAUAAGGAAAGGGCCAAUGGAAUGGGGGUUGGGCUGGAGACUCCAAAGUAGAGGUUCAGUGUAGGAUGCCAUGCUGCUAUGGUGAAUAGGUAGUUUGAUAUCAGCAGAAUAGCCAAUCUUUUUGUUGUUUCCUUCUUCUUAGAGACAUUUCAGUGGCUGGCUGGAUAAGGGGCAAUGAAAACAGUCUUCAAUGUAAAAACCAAGGCCAAUAACUUCUGUGGUGUUAAAGUCUUGGAAACAGUUUAGCCAAGACUGUUAUCAGUGAUAAUGAGUCCUUGUGUUGCUAAAAACAGACCAACAGCCAGGUAAUAGUGGUGUAUUUCUUUAGUGUCAGAACUUGGGAAGCAGAGACAGAUAGAUCUUUGUUCAAGGCCAGCUUCAUCUACAGAGAGUUCCAGGACAGCCAGGGUUACACAGAGAAACCCUUUCUUGAAAAAGAAACAACAACAACAACAAAAGAAAACAAACAAACAAAAGUAGUAAAACCAUAACAAAAGACAGACCAGCAGCAGAAUAUAUCAAAGAACCAGCGUUCUCUGUAGCAAUGCAGAAGAAAGAGAACCAAGUGAUGAUGCCCAGGGAAAGAGACCAAGUCUUGUGGGAUACAUGGUGCUGUUUGUGGAGGACUAAAGGGGUGGGGAGAAUCAUCUCAACUCAAGGUCAUGUUCAGGUGCAUGUGUAGUUGGGGUGCUGUCCAUGUGUGUGGAGACCAAAGGGUAACCUCAGAUGUUAUUACUCAGGAAUACUAUUCACUUCGCUCUUUGAGUCAGGGGACUCUAUCUGACAUGGCAUACUCCAGGUAGACUGAAAGAACCCAGAUGCCCCUCAACAGAGGAAUGGAUACAGAAAAUGUGGUACGUUUACACAAUGGAGUACUAUUCAGCUAUUAAAAAGAAUAAAUUUAUGAAAUUCCUAGGCAAAUGGUUGGACCUGGAGGGCAUCAUCCUGAGUGAGGUAACCCAAUCACAAGGGAACUCACACAAUAUG